UAUGCUCUUUUAAACAGUUCUAUGAGACUGGAGUUUACCUCUGUUACCUUUUUAACAUUUUCAUUGACAAAAUGCCGCAAAUGUAGGUAUCUAAAGAAGUCCUGUUUCUCUAAAAGAUAAUUUUCUUUAAUAAUUUCAAAACUAAACAGUUUGUUUCCCUUCAUAAUAUUGCAUAGAGCUGUUAUUCCAUUAUCUCUCCAUUUUUUGAAUCUGGUGUCCAUUUUAUUUGGUGUGAAGUCUGAGUCAUAUCCACACCAUUUAAGGCACAGUAGAUCUCCUUCAAGUUUGUAUUCUCUAAUGAUAUUUUUCCACACUUUAAGGGUCAAUUUGACCCAUGGAUUAUCAGAACUGUUUAUCUGGUGUUGCAGUUUAGAGUCAGCUAUGAUUGCUUGUAUUGGAAUGGGAAAUAUUUUUUCUUCAAUGUCCUCAGGCCUGCUCUUCAGAUCCCAGCGUCACUUCACAACAAUCACUCUAAAACCAUUUCUGUUCUUAGUGCUUUGCUCCGUUAACGACGAGCGCCAGGGAGCCGGCGGGAAUGCCGCACCGUGAAUGAAAGCCUGCCUCGCGGAUGCUGCGUCUCGAGAAGGAGCCAGGGUCUGAACCCUAACCCCUAACCUCUAACCCCUAACUCUAACCCCGAACCCUAACCCCUAACUCCUAACUCUAACCCCUAACUAUAACCCUAACCCCUAACUCUAACCCCUAACUCCUAACUCUAACCCCUAACUAACCCCUAACCCCUAACUCUAACCCCAACCCGUUCGCCAACGAAUCUUCCCAGGCGGCCGACCAGUUCUCGGCUUGGUCCCCGAGUACAGGAGCUGCACGCCGGGAGUCCCCGUGCCGUGCACCCCAUAGUCCAGACAGGGAAACAGAGGAAACAAGAGCCAAGAACUUUAAAUGUGAUGUACUGUUUUAUUUCUAGAAUAAACUGUUCCGCGGCGUCUUGUGAAAGAGAGGGGCUGAUGAGGAAGGGACGAUUCGACUGAAGCCAGCAGCCUUUUAGGGGGGGAGACGGCAGCAGGUGUCUGUCCCGCGGCUCCAGCCUGCUCAUCAAAUCCCAGCGGCAGACUGCAGGGCAGGCAAAAGGCGGCAGCUUGAAAGGACCGGAGCUCUGACAACAGGUUGGGAUGCUGUGACGGCAUGAGCUGCCUGGCUGACUCUACAGACGGUCCCUGGACUGAGGUCUCACAGCUGAUCGCACAUAGACACCAACGUUAUUCAUCGAUCUCGGAGACCGGCUUUUUUUGGUAAAAUUAAGGAAUGAAAUGGAAUAUGUGCAUAUACUAUACUAUACUGCCAUCUAGUGGUAGAAAGGUGAACCCUUUUUAAUGCCUCCUGCUUUCCAGCAGCCGGCUGCAAGCAUGUGUCUCGGUCAGUCUUCAGACCUGUGCUCCAGCCUGCCUGCUGCUCAUCAAAUCCCAGCGCCUCGUAACGUGACGAGAUUGAAGAUUUCCCCAUAAAAUAUGGCAAAAUAUUCAUAAUAAUUAUUCUAAAUCUAUUUCUCUUCAUGAUAAAAGGUGUAGUCCACUCAUGUUGAGCCCAUUAUUGGAGACAUUGGAUGAUUUCACUCUACACUUGAUAACAGUGAAGCUAUGAAAGAUGGGUUCCAUAAAAUAUGACAAAAUAUUCAUAACAAUUAUUCAAAAUCUUUUUUCUCCAAAGUAAGAGGGGUAGUCCACUCAGGUGGAGCCCAUUGAUGUACAUGUUGAACGAUUUCACUCUAUACUUGAUAACAUUGACAAUAUUGAAGAUUGUUUCCAUAAAUGAUAUCAACAUAUUCAUAAUAAUUAGCGUCAAUGUUAUCAAGUGUAGAGUGAAAUCAUUCAACAAAUACAUCACCGGGCUCCACGUGAGUGGACACACCUCUUACGUUGGAGAAAAAAGAUUUUGAAUAAUUAUUAUGAAUAUUUUGUCAUAUUUAAUGGAAAAGAUCUUUAAUAUGGUCACUGUUAUCAAGAGUAGAGUGAAAUCAUUCAAUGUUUCCAAUAAUGGGCUCAACACGAGUGGACGACACCUUUUAUUGUGAAGAAAAUAAGAUUUUGAAUAAUUAUUAUGAAUAUUUUGAUAUAAUGUAUGGAAACAAUUUUCAAUAGCGUCACUGUUAUUAAAUAUAAUUCAUAAUCAUUAUUUAAGAUGAGGUUUUCUAAAUAACAGG
Pseudoliparis swirei is the source of this 2158-nucleotide long non-coding RNA. RefSeq lists it as uncharacterized. Lineage: Eukaryota; Metazoa; Chordata; Actinopteri; Perciformes; Liparidae. The record is from RefSeq and is a predicted model, not a curated record. The transcript is spliced from 3 exons.